This 368-nucleotide ribosomal RNA is filed under the name Boophis sp. 42 MV-2009. RNAcentral describes it as "partial 16S ribosomal RNA". It matches the Rfam family "Bacterial large subunit ribosomal RNA", at positions 2073 to 2597 of the family's 2925-position model. Lineage: Eukaryota; Metazoa; Chordata; Amphibia; Anura; Mantellidae. The record is from RNAcentral.
GGGGAUGAAUCUAUAAGACGAGAAGACCCCAUGGAGCUUUAAACCCGACAGCACCCGCUUACUUUAUACCUAAUUAUAUGCCCGUUGCCUGUCUGCUCGGUUUUAGGUUGGGGUGACCACGGAGUACAAAAUAACCUCCAUGAAAAAGGGGAUAAUACCCUUAUUAGAGAACAACACUUCCAAAAACUAAUAAAUUAAUUUCUAAUGAUCCGACAUUCGAUCAACGAACCAAGUUACCCUGGGGAUAACAGCGCAAUCCACCCCGAGAGCUCCUAUCGACAGGUGGGUUUACGACCUCGAUGUUGGAUCAGGGUAUCCCAGUGGUGCAGCAGCUACCAACGGUUCGUUUGUUCAACGAUUAAAACCCU